Molecule: non-coding RNA, 1352 nt
Organism: Pelodiscus sinensis (Chinese soft-shelled turtle)
Lineage: Eukaryota; Metazoa; Chordata; Testudines; Trionychidae
Source: RefSeq, a predicted model, not a curated record
CAUGGCGCAGUGUGUGGGGGCAGCUGCUUCCUUGGGGUUAGAUUUCCCAUCUCCAGCCGGUGUGGCCGCAGAUUGAUUCCGGGCUGUACCGCCUGGAGUGGGUGUUUAGUAUGAAUCACUGGCUUCCCCUGCCGAGAGCAUCGCUUGAUGUGGCGGCGAAUUUGAACCCAGAGCACAAAUCCCGGCCUGUGAACGGAGCUUGGGUCUCCUUACGCUGGUGCAAAUCGGGAAUAGUUCUCACAUUGGGAGGUGACAGUGACCAGUCGGUGGCUUUGGCCAUUCAGGAAAAUCUCUUCCAAGGCGGAGAAGUGCACAGGAGGGAGACGUAGACUCCCACGCAGGUCCGGCUUUAUAACGAGCGCCAGGCGUGCUUGUAAAUCCCAUUUUGCCUAAUGACACGUGCUAACCGACUUGAGCCGUGGAUUCCGUAAGAACGGCUGCCUCCCGGUUCGGGUACGCGAGGGGGUUCCUCUGUAUUGGAUCUGUCCCAGAAAUAGGCGUUGCCCGGCCUGGUCAUGGUGGAAGUCAUGAGACUCGACCCUGAUCAAAGCGUGCAUUGUGCCACUGUAUUUAUCUUGCAAUUUCCACCUCACUGUGUUCUCUGUGCGGAGGGCCCAAAUUCAAACUGCCCUACAUCCCCGUUCAUCAGCUCUGUCUGAUUUCCUCUUUAUUGCCUGUACUUAAGACUGUCUUGUGAAGCUGUCCUUCCAAAUCUUGCGUUCCUGAAAUGAAUCCUGCAGCUGUUAAACUUUGUGCUUUUUUUUGCCCCCUGCACUGUGGGUUUUGAAAGUUUGCGGUGUCCUAAAAACCUACCAGAUGUUGGCACCUCUCUGAAUUCUGGGCAGGUGGACUCAACACUUUCUGUGAAAAUUUGGUCCUGUGUCCUCAUCUCUGUUAAAUCCGGAGAAGGAUGCUUACCUGCUUUGGUAGCUCUCAAAGCACUUUGCAAUGAAAAGUGCUAGAUAAGAGUUAGGUAUUGCUCUAGCUUGAAGACUCGAUCUACUGUCCAGUCUUCUCAACUAUCAAGGGGACAAAUCACAAACCCAAAGAACUUUUUUUUGUUGUUGUUGCAAAGAUAGCAAGCAUAUUGUGUUGCGCAGAAGUUAGGUACAAAUGUAGUGAGGAAAGUAGCACAGCUUUCCAGCUAGAUCUUCAGGUUUGGGAACAUAUUCUUUCCGCCUUUUGGCCUUGCCAAUUUGCUGCCCAAACUAUGCCGCAUUCUUUAAACCAGUGGCUCUCGAACCUUUCCAGACUACUCCUUUCCGGAGUCUGAUUUGUCUUGCAACGCCCCCCCCUCCUUUCUAGGUCUCACUCACUUAAAAACGAUGUGCUUACAAAAUCAGACAUAAAAA